This 792-nucleotide ribosomal RNA is filed under the name uncultured crenarchaeote. RNAcentral's name for it is "bacterial SSU rRNA". It matches the Rfam family "Archaeal small subunit ribosomal RNA", at positions 85 to 941 of the family's 1478-position model. The record is from RNAcentral. Lineage: Archaea; Thermoproteati; Thermoproteota.
ACGGCUCAGUAACACGUAGUCAACCUAACUCGUGGACGUGGAUAACCUCGGGAAACUGAGAAUAAACCACGAUAGAUCAUAGUGCCUGGAAUGGCUUAUGGUCCAAACAGUUUACUGCCAUGGGAUGGGACUGCGGCCUAUCAGCUUGUUGGUGAGGUAAUGGCCCACCAAGGCGAUUACAGGUACGGGCUCUGAGAGGAGAAGCCCGGAGAUGGGUACUGAGACACGGACCCAGGCCCUAUGGGGCGCAGCAGGCGAGAAACCUUAGCAAUGUGCGAAAGCACGACUGGGUCAGUCCGAGAGAUUCCUGAUAAAGGAGUCUUUUGCUUGUCCUAAAAGCACAGGUGAAUAAGGGGUGGGCAAGUCUGGUGUCAGCCGCCGCGGUAAUACCAGCACCUCGAGUGGUCAGGACGUUUAUUGGGCCUAAAGCAUCCGUAGCCGGCUUUGCAAGUCUUCGGUUAAAUCCACCUGCUCAACAGAUGGGCUGCUGGAGAUACUACAGAGCUAGGGAGUCAGUGGCGAAGGCGGUCUGCCAGAACACGUUCGACGGCGAGGGAUGAAAGCUGGGGGAGCAAACCGGAUUAGAUACCCGGGUAGUCCCAGCUGUAAACGAUGCAAACUCGGUGAUGCAUUGGCUUAUGGCCAAUGCAGUGCCGCAGGGAAGCCGUUAAGUUUGCCGCCUGGGAAGUACGGACGCAAGUCUGAAACUUAAAGGAAUUGGGAGAGGCAGACGGUAUUCAGUGGGUAGGGGUAAAAUCCUCUGAUCCAUUGAGGACCACGGCGGGGGAGCAC